GAUGAACGCUGACAGAAUGCUUAACACAUGCAAGUCAACUUGAAUUUGGGUUUUUAACUUAGAUUUGGGUGGCGGACGGGUGAGUAACGCGUAGAGAACUUGCCUCACAGUUAGGGACAACAUUUAGAAAUGAAUGCUAAUACCUGAUAUUAUGGUUAUAGGGCAUCCUAUAACUAUGAAAGCUAUAAGCACUGUGAGAGAGCUUUGCGUCCCAUUAGCUAGUUGGAGAGGUAACAGCUCACCAAGGCGAUGAUGGGUAGCCGGCCUGAGAGGGUGAACGGCCACAAGGGGACUGAGACACGGCCCUUACUCCUACGGGAGGCAGCAGUGGGGAAUAUUGGACAAUGGACCGAGAGUCUGAUCCAGCAAUUCUGUGUGCACGAUGAAGUUUUUCGGAAUGUAAAGUGCUUUUCAGUUGGGAAGAAAGAAAUGACGGUACCAAACAGAAAAAAG
RNAcentral lists this ribosomal RNA (453 nucleotides) under Fusobacterium sp. oral taxon H27. Its description in RNAcentral is "bacterial SSU rRNA". It matches the Rfam family "Bacterial small subunit ribosomal RNA", at positions 28 to 490 of the family's 1533-position model. Lineage: Bacteria; Fusobacteriati; Fusobacteriota; Fusobacteriia; Fusobacteriales; Fusobacteriaceae. The record is from RNAcentral.